ACCCCAGGUCAGGCGGGAUCACCCGCUGAGUUUAAGCAUAUAUUUA
Molecule: ribosomal RNA, 46 nt
Filed under: Porlieria microphylla
Lineage: Eukaryota; Viridiplantae; Streptophyta; Magnoliopsida; Zygophyllales; Zygophyllaceae
Description: partial 25S ribosomal RNA
Source: RNAcentral